UACGUAGGUGGCAAGCGUUGUCCGGAAUUAUUGGGCGUAAAGCGCGCGCAGGCGGUCCUUUAAGUCUGAUGUGAAAGCCCACGGCUCAACCGUGGAGGGUCAUUGGAAACUGGGGGACUUGAGUACAGAAGAGAAGAGUGGAAUUCCACGUGUAGCGGUGAAAUGCGUAGAGAUGUGGAGGAACACCAAUGGCGAAGGCGACUCUUUGGUCUGUAACUGACGCUGAGGCGCGAAAGCGUGGGGAGCAAACAGG
Molecule: ribosomal RNA, 253 nt
Filed under: uncultured bacterium
Lineage: Bacteria
Description: partial 16S ribosomal RNA
Rfam family: Bacterial small subunit ribosomal RNA
Source: RNAcentral